UCAUAUUUAAGAUCCUAGCUCCCUCUCC
Molecule: non-coding RNA, 28 nt
Filed under: Mus musculus (house mouse)
Lineage: Eukaryota; Metazoa; Chordata; Mammalia; Rodentia; Muridae
Source: RNAcentral